UACGUAGGUGGCAAGCGUUAUCCGGAAUUAUUGGGCGUAAAGAGGGAGCAGGCGGCAGCAAAGGUCUGUGGUGAAAGACUGAAGCUUAACUUCAGUAAGCCAUAGAAACCGGGCGGCUAGAGUGCAGGAGAGGAGAGUGGAAUUCCAUGUGUAGCGGUGAAAUGCGUAGAUAUAUGGAGGAACACCGGUGGCGAAAGCGGCUCUCUGGUCUGUAACUGACGCUGAGGUUCGAAAGCGUGGGUAGCAAACAGG
Molecule: ribosomal RNA, 252 nt
Filed under: uncultured bacterium
Lineage: Bacteria
Description: partial 16S ribosomal RNA
Rfam family: Bacterial small subunit ribosomal RNA
Source: RNAcentral